UACGGAGGAUCCGAGCGUUAUCCGGAUUUAUUGGGUUUAAAGGGAGCGCAGGCGGGGGCGUAAGUCAGCGGUGAAAUCUACGGGCUCAACUCGUAAACUGCCGUUGAUACUGCAUCCCUUGAGUACGUGUGGGGCUGGCGGAAUGCGACAAGUAGCGGUGAAAUGCAUAGAUAUGUCGCAGAACACCGAUCGCGAAGGCAGCUGGCCAACACGUAACUGACGCUGAGGCUCGAAAGCAUGGGGAUCAAACAGG
RNAcentral lists this ribosomal RNA (253 nucleotides) under uncultured bacterium. RNAcentral describes it as "partial 16S ribosomal RNA". It matches the Rfam family "Bacterial small subunit ribosomal RNA", at positions 524 to 776 of the family's 1533-position model. The record is from RNAcentral.